Esox lucius (northern pike) is the source of this 1357-nucleotide long non-coding RNA. The record is from Ensembl. NCBI's taxonomy places the organism in Eukaryota, Metazoa, Chordata, Actinopteri, Esociformes, Esocidae.
GGUUACAUUUAUUUAGUUUUCCCAAUAUAAGAAAUUAAUAAAAGCUCUAAUACAAAACAUGGUUAUACAUUGACAACUGUGAUUAUAAGAACUUAAUAAUAAUUGUCACCCAGGACAGUUGUGUACGACAGCGGGACAUAUAGGGAGACCAUACAUUGAAAGUGUAUUACACAUCAUUUCACAUUUCUGUUGGAUAUACAAAUUGUGCUACGAAAAGGAAGUAAACAACAAAGACAAAACAGCAUGUAAGACCAGAGUGAACUGCAUUGCAGUUUUACCUCAACAGGUAUUGGACUAGGCAUUCCAACACAUUAACAGUGCAGUUCUACUGACUUGUAAAGGCAGCUAAAGUUGCAUUUCUAGAUGUCCUCUUUGUGUGUCACAAUGCACAAAAUCUAAGAUGAUGUCCUAUUCACCGCAUUGCACUUUUAGAUUUCAGUUAAUGAAACACAAGCUCAUCAUUACUUUUGUAUAGCCUUGCUACAUGUGCAGCAGCUACAUAACAAUCAGCACAAAUGCUCAUUGUGAAGUUAUCAACACAAAUCAUUUUCAGCCCAAACAUAGCUUUAUUUUUUGGGCACGAGAUGACAACUUUGAUCACAAAUAUACUAUGUAUUAACUAGGGCUGAGAUCAGCAUUAGAUUUUUAACAGCCAUUUAACAAACCCUCUCCAGGUAAAAUCCAGUUGAUGAAUAAUUGACACAAGAAUGCAAUGCAAGACAAAUAACCUAGUAUUAUUAUUUAAUCUUUGGAUGGUUCUCUAGUACGAAGCAUCCGUGUUGUUGUACAUUCUAGUGAAUUUCACAAAAACUAUUUGAUAGUAGUCUUUCCACAGUAAAACACAUUAUUGAUAAAGCUAUUCUAAAUAAAUAUUAAUCUCGUUAUAACUUCUAUCCACAAUGCCAGUGAAGCAAUCAUGCGUCUUAAUCCUAUAAAAUAUCCUUUAAGGGUUCAUUCGUGAGGCUAUCACUUCACAAUAAAGGGUUUGGUAAGAGAAAUGAGGGAGACAGUGAGAGAGAAGGGCAAAGGAACACAGCGAUACCAAUUGAUGAGGCCAAAUGCAAAGGUGUUAGGAGGUCAUUACUCCACUAGUACAUUUUUAUACACAAGAUAUGGACCUAAUAUCACAUUUUCUUUCUAAGAAUUAUUUUUCGGGGGUUUUGAUGAUGAACCCAUAGUUUUACUGAAUAACACAAACCUUGAAAAAUGACAAUAUAUUUGGAAUAGAAAAGCUUUAGAUUUGUUAAUCUGUGUUUUAUUAGGUUAUUAUUGUUAGCCUAACAGUCUUAGUGCUUGACAGGCACAGUCAUUUUAUAUUAUGUUCAAGAGGAUGACAGACAGGUGAAAGCAGUUCAAC